UUUUGGACAAUGGGGGCAACCCUGAUCCAGCAAUGCCGCGUGAGUGAAGAAGGCCUUCGGGUUGUAAAGCACUUUCACUCAGGAGGAAAGGUUAGUAGUUAAUACCUGCUAGCUGUGACGUUACUGACAGAAGAAGCACCGGCUAACUCCGUGCCAGCAGCCGCGGUAAUACGGAGGGUGCGAGCGUUAACCGGAAUUACUGGGCGUAAAGCGUACGCAGGCGGUUUGUUAAGCGAGAUGUGAAAGCCCCGGGCUCAACCUGGGAACUGCAUUUCGAACUGGCAAACUAGAGUGUGAUAGAGGGUGGUAGAAUUUCAGGUGUAGCGGUGAAAUGCGUAGAGAUCUGAAGGAAUACCGAUGGCGAAGGCAGCCACCUGGGUCAACACUGACGCUCAUUACGAGG
RNAcentral lists this ribosomal RNA (403 nucleotides) under uncultured bacterium. Its description in RNAcentral is "bacterial SSU rRNA". It matches the Rfam family "Bacterial small subunit ribosomal RNA", at positions 362 to 758 of the family's 1533-position model. The record is from RNAcentral.